GUGUCAGCAGCCGCGGUAAUACGGAGGGUGCAAGCGUUGUCCGGAUUUAUUGGGUUUAAAGGGUGCGUAGGCGGGUUCUUAAGUCAGUGGUGAAAGCCGGCAGCUCAACUGUCGAACUGCCAUUGAUACUGGGGACCUUGAGUACAGAUGAGGUAGGCGGAAUUUAUGGUGUAGCGGUGAAAUGCAUAGAUACCAUAAAGAACACCGAUAGCGAAGGCAGCUUACUAAACUGUAACUGACGCUGAGGCACGAAAGCAUGGGGAUCGAACAGGAUUAGAAACCCUUGUAGUCC
This 292-nucleotide ribosomal RNA is filed under the name uncultured bacterium. Its description in RNAcentral is "partial 16S ribosomal RNA". It matches the Rfam family "Bacterial small subunit ribosomal RNA", at positions 505 to 796 of the family's 1533-position model. The record is from RNAcentral.